GAGAGCCAGGAGAGGGGGCCAGCCCCAGGCCCCGAAACAGUGUUCUGGGGCU
This is a non-coding RNA of Mus musculus (house mouse), 52 nucleotides long. Lineage: Eukaryota; Metazoa; Chordata; Mammalia; Rodentia; Muridae. The record is from Rfam.